CAGCACCUCAAGUGGUCAGGAUGAUUAUUGGGCCUAAAGCAUCCGUAGCCGGCGCUGUAAGUUUUCGGUUAAAUCUGUACGCUCAACGUACAGGCUGCCGGGAAUACUGCAGCGCUAGGGAGUGGGAGAGGUAGACGGUACUCGGUAGGAAGGGGUAAAAUCCUUUGAUCUAUUGAUGACCACCUGUGGCGAAGGCGGUCUACCAGAACACGUCCGACGGUGAGGGACGAAGCCCUGGGGCACAAACCGGAUUAGAGACCCGAGUAGUCC
Molecule: ribosomal RNA, 270 nt
Filed under: uncultured archaeon
Lineage: Archaea
Description: partial 16S ribosomal RNA
Rfam family: Archaeal small subunit ribosomal RNA
Source: RNAcentral